UGGGGAAUCUUGCGCAAUGGGCGAAAGCCUGACGCAGCAACGCCGCGUGAGCGAAGAAGGCCUUCGGGUUGUAAAGCUCUGUCAGGAGGGACGAAGCCACUCAGGUUAAUAGCCGAGAGGGUGACGGUACCUCCAGAGGAAGCCCCGGCUAACUACGUGCCAGCAGCCGCGGUAAUACGUAGGGGGCGAGCGUUGUCCGGAAUCAUUGGGCGUAAAGCGCGUGUAGGCGGCCAUCCAAGUCCGAGGUGAAA
This 251-nucleotide ribosomal RNA is filed under the name uncultured prokaryote. RNAcentral's name for it is "partial 16S ribosomal RNA". It matches the Rfam family "Bacterial small subunit ribosomal RNA", at positions 355 to 599 of the family's 1533-position model. The record is from RNAcentral.